This 492-nucleotide ribosomal RNA is filed under the name uncultured bacterium. RNAcentral's name for it is "partial 16S ribosomal RNA". It matches the Rfam family "Bacterial small subunit ribosomal RNA", at positions 29 to 507 of the family's 1533-position model. The record is from RNAcentral.
AGUGAACGCUGGCGGUAGGCCUAACACAUGCAAGUCGAACGGCAGCACAGUAAGAGCUUGCUCUUACGGGUGGCGAGUGGCGGACGGGUGAGGAAUACAUCGGAAUCUACUUUUUCGUGGGGGAUAACGUAGGGAAACUUACGCUAAUACCGCAUACGACCUACGGGUGAAAGCAGGGGAUCUUCGGACCUUGCGCGAUUGAAUGAGCCGAUGUCGGAUUAGCUAGUUGGCGGGGUAAAGGCCCACCAAGGCGACGAUCCGUAGCUGGUCUGAGAGGAUGAUCGGCCACACUGGAACUGAGACACGGUCCAGACUCCUACGGGAGGCAGCAGUGGGGAAUAUUGGACAAUGGGCGCAAGCCUGAUCCAGCCAUACCGCGUGGGUGAAGAAGGCCUUCGGGUUGUAAAGCCCUUUUGUUGGGAAAGAAAAGCAGCAGGUUAAUACCCCGCUGUUCUGACGGUACCCGAAGAAUAAGCACCGGCUAACUUCGUG